Molecule: transfer RNA, 71 nt
Filed under: Felis catus (domestic cat)
Lineage: Eukaryota; Metazoa; Chordata; Mammalia; Carnivora; Felidae
Also listed under: 1 other name
Rfam family: tRNA
About the family: Transfer RNA (tRNA) molecules are approximately 80 nucleotides in length.
Source: Rfam by way of RNAcentral
GCCUGGCUGGCUCAGGGUAGAGCGUGUGACUCUUGAUCUUGGGGUUGUGAGUUCAAGCCCCACAUUGGGUG